GAUGAACGCUAGCUACAGGCUUAACACAUGCGAGUCGAGGGGCAGCAUGGUCUUAGCUUGCUAAGGCCGAUGGCGACCGGCGCACGGGUGAGUAACACGUAUCCAACCUGCCGUCUACUCUUGGACAGCCUUCUGAAAGGAAGAUUAAUACAAGAUGGCAUCAUGAGUCCGCAUGUUCACAUGAUUAAAGGUAUUCCGGUAGACGAUGGGGAUGCGUUCCAUUAGAUAGUAGGCGGGGUAACGGCCCACCUAGUCUUCGAUGGAUAGGGGUUCUGAGAGGAAGGUCCCCCACAUUGGGAACUGAGACACGGGUCCAAACUCCUACGGGAGGCAGCAGUGGGGAAUAUUGCACAAUGGGGGAAACCCUGAUGCAGCGACGCCGCGUGAAGGAAGAAGUAUCUCGGGUAUGUAAACUUCUAUCAGCAGGG
This 428-nucleotide ribosomal RNA is filed under the name uncultured bacterium. RNAcentral's name for it is "bacterial SSU rRNA". It matches the Rfam family "Bacterial small subunit ribosomal RNA", at positions 28 to 444 of the family's 1533-position model. The record is from RNAcentral.